This 374-nucleotide ribosomal RNA is filed under the name uncultured eukaryote. RNAcentral's name for it is "partial 18S ribosomal RNA". It matches the Rfam family "Eukaryotic small subunit ribosomal RNA", at positions 592 to 975 of the family's 1831-position model. The record is from RNAcentral.
CAAUAGCGUAUAUUUAAGUUGUUGCAGUUAAAAAGCUCGUAGUUGGAUUUCGGUUAAGAGCGACCGGUCCGCCGUUUGGUGUGCACUGGUUGGUUCUAACUUCCUGUAGAGGACGUGCUCUGGGUUUAACGACCUGGACUCGGAGUCUACGUGGUUACUUUGAAAAAAUUAGAGUGUUCAAAGCGGGCUUACGCUUGAAUAUUUCAGCAUGGAAUAACACUAUAGGACUCCUGUCCUAUUUCGUUGGUCUCGGGACGGGAGUAAUGAUUAAGAGGAACAGUUGGGGGCAUUCGUAUUUCAUUGUCAGAGGUGAAAUUCUUGGAUUUAUGAAAGACGAACUUCUGCGAAAGCAUUUGCCAAGGAUGUUUUCAUUA